Molecule: regulatory RNA element, 39 nt
Organism: Prevotella sp. CAG:485
Lineage: Bacteria; Pseudomonadati; Bacteroidota; Bacteroidia; Bacteroidales; Prevotellaceae
Rfam family: S4-Bacteroidia ribosomal protein leader
Source: Rfam
GAUUGCCUUUUAAGCCUUUUCUCUCGGCAAUCGCGGCUG